GGCGUUGAAAAAAAAAAGUUUUCAUUAACCCGAGGCAUCAUAUUCAAAAUGUUCUACUCUUAUACAUCUAUAAACAUGUGUCUAAGAACACUAGUAUGAGGAUUGCUAUCAUUGCUAGGCAUUGCAUGUGAAAAGGGAAAUUAAAGGACACCUGUAAUGCAGUAGCCUUAGCCUUAGCCUUCCGUUUAUGCUCCUCUUCUCUGCAUCCAACAACCACAACAAAUUGCAAUUCAGCAUCAACCCCACACAAUACAAAACAUUCACAUUGUAUACACAGUACAUACAUACACACUGCAAACACAGUACAUACAUACACACACUACAUACACUGCAUACACUACACACACUACAUACACUACACACAUACACUGCAUACACUACACACACACCCUGCAAGUACACACACAGUGCAUACAUACAUACACACACUGCAUACACCCUGCAUACACCCUGCAUACAUACACACUGCAUACACAGUACACAAACACACACACACACUACAUACACUACACUUACACACACACUGCAUACACUACACACACACCCUGCAUACACACUGCACACACACACACUCACACUCACACACUGCACACACACACACACACUGCAUACAUACUGCAUACACACACACACUGCAUAUAUACACACACACUGCAUACAUACACACACACUCACACUUACACACACUGCAUACAUACUGCAUACAUACACAUACACUGCAUACAUACUACAUACAUACACACACACACACUGCAUACAUACACACACACUCACACUUACACACACACUGCACACACACACACUCACACUCACACACUGCAUAUAUACACACACACACACUGCGCACACACACACACACUGCACACACUGCAUAGACACACACACACUGCACACACUGCAUAGACACACACACACUGCAUACACACUCACACCACAACACUGCACACAACACACACAAACUGCAUACACACUCACACACACACUGCACACACACACACACUGCAUACACACACACACACUCACACUCACACACUAAACACAGUCACACACACACACACUGGACACACACAUACACACACUGCAUAUAUACACACACACACAAACUGCACACACACACUGCAUACACACACAAAUUACACACACACACACAAACUGCACACACACACACUGCAUACACACAAAACUGCACACACACACACAACUGCACACACACACACACACUACACACACACACACACACUGCACACACACUCACACUCACACACACUCACACUCACACACUGAACACAGUGACACACACACACACACGGGGACAGAGUGCAACAAACUCUUACCCUCACACACACACUCUGUUUUUAUACUCACACACACACACUGCAUACAUACUUGCAUACACACACACUGCACACACACACACACGCACACACACACACACACUGCAUACAUACUGCAUACAUACACACACACACACACUGCGCACACACACACACUGCACACACUGCAUAGACACACACACACUGCACACACUGCAUACACACUCACACACACACUGCACACACACACACAAACUGCAUACACACUCACACACACACUGCACACACACACACACACACACUGCAUACACACACACACUGCACACACACUCACACUCACACACACUCACACUCACACUUACACUCACACUCACACACAAACACACACACACACUGCACACUUACACUCACACUCACACUCACACUCACACUCACACUCACACUUACACACACACUGCAUACAUACUGCAUACAUACACACACACACUGCAUACAUACUACAUACAUACACACACACACACAAACUGCACACACACACUGCAUACACACUGAACACAGUCACACACACACACACACUGGACACACACAUACACACACACACAAACUGCACACACACACUGCAUACACACACAAAUUGCACACACACACAAACUGCACACACACACUGCAUACACACACCAAACUGCACACACACACAAACUGCACACACACACACACUACAUACACACACACACUGCACACACACUCACACUCACACACACUCACACUCACACACUGCAUACACACUCACACACACACUGCACACACACACACACACAAACUGCAUACACACUCACACACACACUGCACACACACACACACUGCAUACACACACACACUGCACACACACUCACACUCACACACACUCACACUCACACUUACACUCACACUCACACACAAACACACACACACACACACAAACACUUACACUCACACUCACACUCACACACACAUUUUACACACACAACUCACACACACAUUUUACACACACAACUCACACACAUACACACAAAAACAGAUUACACACACACACACGGACAUAUUACACACACAUUUUACACACACAACUCACACACACACUGCAAAUAACACAGGUUACACACACACACACGGAUAGAUUACACACACAUUUUACACACACAACUCACACACACACAGAUAUUACACAGGUUACACAGAUUACAUACACACACACACACACACAAACACACUCACACACACACAAACACACAGACAAAUUUUUUUUCAGUACACACAAACACACACACAGAGAGCACACACCUGAGACUAAUCUCAAUUUCAUCUUAUGAAAACCCCAAAUUCUAAUCUCAAUUUCACCUAAAUAACAAAACCCUAAUUUGUUCAAUUGCAAAUCCACUUGUAUAUUAUGAAUUUCUCAAACCCAAAACAACUAAAAUCAAAUAAACCUCAGUUAAUAUCACAAACAAAUCCACACAAAUCGACGAAAAAAAAUCCAAGAUUCGAAGCUUACCGACUAGAGGCAGAUGACAGCGACCAGAUGCAAGGACGACGAUGAGCGUGAGGACGAUGUGGGAGCACGGCAAGGACGACGACGAGGGCAGACGCAGAGAUGAGGACGAUGUGGGAUGUGAGAUGUGGGAAGACGCGG
This 2982-nucleotide long non-coding RNA is filed under the name Malus domestica (apple). RNAcentral's name for it is "long non-coding RNA (MDOM_LNC001468)". Lineage: Eukaryota; Viridiplantae; Streptophyta; Magnoliopsida; Rosales; Rosaceae. The record is from RNAcentral.